AGCGAACGCUGGCGGCAGGCUUAACACAUGCAAGUCGAACGGUCCUUCGGGAUAGUGGCGGACGGGUGAGUAACACGUGGGAACGUACCCUUAGGUUCGGAACAACACAGGGAAACUUGUGCUAAUACCGGAUAAGCACUUCGGGGGAAAGAUUUAUCGCCUUUGGAGCGGCCCGCGUCUGAUUAGCUUGUUGGUGAGGUAAUGGCUCACCAAGGCUACGAUCAGUAGCUGGUCUGAGAGGAUGGCCAGCCACACUGGGACUGAGACACGGCCCAGACUACUACGGGAGGCAGCAGUGGGGAAUCUUGCGCAAUGGGCGAAAGCCUGACGCAGCCAUGCCGCGUGGAUGAUGAAGGUCUUAGGAUUGUAAAAUCCUUUCACCGGGGACGAUAAUGACGGUACCCGGAGAAGAAGCCCCGGCUAACUUCGUGCCAGCCGCCGCGGUAA
RNAcentral lists this ribosomal RNA (447 nucleotides) under uncultured bacterium. RNAcentral's name for it is "partial 16S ribosomal RNA". It matches the Rfam family "Bacterial small subunit ribosomal RNA", at positions 29 to 523 of the family's 1533-position model. The record is from RNAcentral.